RNAcentral lists this ribosomal RNA (449 nucleotides) under uncultured bacterium. RNAcentral's name for it is "partial 16S ribosomal RNA". It matches the Rfam family "Bacterial small subunit ribosomal RNA", at positions 339 to 795 of the family's 1533-position model. The record is from RNAcentral.
CUACGGGAUGCAGCAGUGGGGAAUAUUGCGCAAUGGGCGAAAGCCUGACGCAGCAACGCCGCGUGAGUGAUGAAGGCCUUCGGGUCGUAAAGCUCUGUCGGGAGGGAAGAACACCUUCGGGUCUGACGGUACCUCCCGAGGAAGCACAGGCUAACUCCGUGCCAGCGGCCGCGGUAAUACGGAGUGUGCAAGCGUUGUUCGGAAUUACUGGGCGUAAAGCGCGCGUAGGCGGCUUGAUAAGUCAGAUGUGAAAUCCCUCGGCUUAACCGAGGAACUGCAUUUGAAACUGUCAGGCUUGAGUACGGGAGGGGGAAGCGGAAUUCCCAGUGUAGAGGUGAAAUUCGUAGAUAUUGGGAGGAACACCAGCGGCGAAGGCGGCUUCCUGGACCGAUACUGACGCUGAGGCGCGAAAGCGUGGGGAGCAAACAGGAUUAGAUACCCUAGUAGUC